Molecule: ribosomal RNA, 301 nt
Filed under: uncultured bacterium
Lineage: Bacteria
Description: partial 16S ribosomal RNA
Rfam family: Bacterial small subunit ribosomal RNA
Source: RNAcentral
CAGUCGCCACGGGAAUACGAGGGGUGCAAGCGUUACUCGGAAUUACUGGGCGUAAAGCGUGCGUAGGUGGUUGUUUAAGUCUGUUGUGAAAGCCCUGGGCUCAACCUGGGAAUUGCAGUGGAUACUGGGCGACUAGAGUGUGGUAGAGGGUAGUGGAAUUCCCGGUGUAGCAGUGAAAUGCGUAGAGAUCGGGAGGAACAUCCAUGGCGAAGGCAGCUACCUGGACCAACACUGACACUGAGGCACGAAAGCGUGGUGAGCAAACAGGAUUAGAUACCCCUGCAGUCCCUGUCUCUUAUAC